This 253-nucleotide ribosomal RNA is filed under the name uncultured bacterium. RNAcentral describes it as "partial 16S ribosomal RNA". It matches the Rfam family "Bacterial small subunit ribosomal RNA", at positions 524 to 776 of the family's 1533-position model. The record is from RNAcentral.
UACGAACUGUGCAAACGUUAUUCGGAAUCACUGGGCUUAAAGGGUGCGUAGGCGGCUGUCUAAGCAGGGUGUGAAAGCCCCCGGCUCAACCGGGGAAUUGCGUUCUGAACUGGACGGCUGGAGUGGGAUAGAGGUGUGUGGAACUUCCGGUGGAGCGGUGAAAUGUGUUGAUAUCGGAAGGAACGCCGGUGGCGAAAGCGACACACUGGGUCUCAACUGACGCUGAGGCACGAAAGCCAGGGGAGCGAACGGG